CAUAGGUGUCCGCUACCAUGUAGGGCCCUUCCCAAUUCGAAGCUAGCUUCCCUUGGUCUAGAGGCUUCGAGACUUCUGCCUUUCUUAAGACUAGGUCCCCAGGCCUGAAGAGCUUUGGCCUGACCUUGGCGUUGUAAUAUCGGGCUACUUUGUGUCGGUAUGAGGCCACGCGAAGUUGAGCCUCAUCCCGAAGUUCGGGGAGGAGGUCU
Molecule: long non-coding RNA, 209 nt
Filed under: Elaeis guineensis (African oil palm)
Lineage: Eukaryota; Viridiplantae; Streptophyta; Magnoliopsida; Arecales; Arecaceae
Description: long non-coding RNA (EGUI_LNC074198)
Source: RNAcentral